This 468-nucleotide ribosomal RNA is filed under the name uncultured bacterium. Its description in RNAcentral is "partial 16S ribosomal RNA". It matches the Rfam family "Bacterial small subunit ribosomal RNA", at positions 28 to 507 of the family's 1533-position model. The record is from RNAcentral.
GACGAACGCUGGCGGCGUGCUUAACACAUGCAAGUCGAACGGAAAGGCCCUGCUUUUGUGGGGUGCUCGAGUGGCGAAAGGGUGAGUAACACGUGAGUAACCUGCCCUUGACUUUGGGAUAACUUCAGGAAACUGGGGAUAAUACCGGAUAGGAGCUCCUGCUGCAUGGUGGGGGUUGGAAAGUUUCGGCGGUUGGGGAUGGAAUCGCGGCUUAUCAGCUUGUUGGUGGGGUAGUGGCUUACCAAGGCUUUGACGGGUAGCCGGCCUGAGAGGGUGACCGGCCACAUUGGGACUGAGAUACGGCCCAGACUCCUACGGGAGGCAGCAGUGGGGAAUAUUGCACAAUGGGCGGAAGCCUGAUGCAGCAACGCCGCGUGCGGGAUGACGGCCUUCGGUUUGUAAACCGCUUUCGCCUGUGACGAAGCGUGAGUGACGGUAAUGGGUAAAGAAGCACCGGCUAACUACGUG